RNAcentral lists this unclassified non-coding RNA (3282 nucleotides) under Hevea brasiliensis (rubber tree). The record is from RNAcentral. Lineage: Eukaryota; Viridiplantae; Streptophyta; Magnoliopsida; Malpighiales; Euphorbiaceae.
UCUCACACCUAUUUCAUAUUACAUUGUCAUCGAUAUAAAAAUAUUUAGUACAUGAAGCCAUCAUCUGAUGGAUUUAUCAAUCUUUUUAUAUAUAAAUCUCAUUAUAAAUCCCAUGCAUUAUCCCGAGGCCUUUCGAAGAACUUUAGGGUCAGAAUUGCCAAAUAAUGACCAACUUCGUUUAACACUACGCUACAAAAGGAGGAUCAAGAACAACAGCAAUGAAUCAGAUAGAAACUAUGCCUGCACCUCAGCAGAUGGGCAUCAUAUUAUUAAGCUAUUAUCAGUACAAUACAUAUAAUGAAUUGGCUACUCCUACCACUAUAUAUUAGAUGAUGGUGCAAAAAAAUUUUCUUUGGAACCCCCUCUUCUAAGAUAUUAGAAGCACAGCUCCAAGCAGGUGCUGCAUUGGUGGGUUUACGUUAAAUUUUUGCUAUGGACUGCUCUCAAUGUUUCAAGAAGCCAUCACCAAAGGGGAUCCAUAUCCAUUUCUAUGUGCCUUUUGCCAUCUCCAUGCAGUCUGUAAGCUGUGCUGGAGAUCAGUAUGUUGUGCUGUCCAGUUCAGCUCAAGCCUAAUCUUUGUGGGAUCACUAUAAACUUCAGCAUAGUCACCAGGUCGGCGAGGUAAAUAAUCGACUUUGAUGUUCACACCGGUUGCCUUCUUACAUGCCUCCACAAAUUCCUUGACAGAACUACCUUUUCCAGUGCCAACGUUGUAGAUCCCAACUUUACCAGGCAUUGACUUUUCAAGGGCUUUCACGUGAGCAUCAACAAGAUCAGUAACAUCAAUAUAAUCUCGAAUACAAGUGCCAUCAUGUGUCUUGUAAUCUGUUCCUUUAACCUUCAAGCCAGGAACAAUACCGCGAGCUGCAUCAAAACAAGCACCAGAAAUUCUCCCAUGCUCACGCAGUUCGGGUCUGGGAGCCUCACCCAGUCUGCCAUCUGGAUCUGAACCAAUCACAUUGAAGUAUCUGGGAGUCAUUCACAAGAAAGAUGCAUCAAUAAGCAACUAAUGGAAGAGACAAUCCCUUAUUAUUAAAUUUUCAAAUCCAAGGCAGACAGUAGUGCACUUAUAUGAGAGAGAUUUAACUUAUCAAAUAUAUGCUCAAAAACCCAUCUUUUCACAUGAGUUUGAAAAUAAGAUGGAGACCAUGUAUGGGACCCCAUCAGCUAUUAGUAGCACUAAUAGCCAUCUGGCAUUGUGUUUACAUAUUCCAAAGUUUGGCCUGCACAUGCUCCUGUUUUAAAAGGCAGCUGAGAGCCGCUUUGCAAAAAGCUGCAGUUGACAAAAUAAAGGGCCAAAUACAGCAUAAGCUGCUAGCCUAAAAACAAUAAUAUUGAAUGCUAAAAAUCUGAAGUAGACACCUUUCCAGAAUGCUGUGAAGGAAUCAUCUUCUACAAUAACUUGAUUUUGCAUAAAGAAUGCAAAAAAAGGCUAAACCAUGAAAACAAACAAUAAAGUAGACUUAAUUAAUUCGAUUAAAAGAAUAAAUAAGAAAAUCAUGUCUUGAAGUUAUUACUUAUCAUGAUUUCAAAAAUUUCAUAUAGUUUUCCAAGUUCAGAGAAUUUCUGCCAAAUCCAGGUUUCACCUGGCUGUGAGACCAAAAAGUGAACGAUGGGGGGUGAAAGCCAGCCAGGUGUGAGACAACAGGCAUAAUUACAUGGAGUGAUCUCAAACAAAAAUCACAAGCCUCCUACAAGGGAGUUAUUCCAUAGCAAGAGCAGAAGUCAAUGGGUUACAAAACAAAUAGGAUCUCUAAUAGUAAUUGUGUAUUUACUAGUGGUGUUUUGGAAACUCAAGGUACAAAUCUCCCACCAUCUUAAUGCAAUUCUUGCAAUCAUAAGCUAAAAUAAUAAAACAAAAUUAUAAAAAAAAAAUACAAGCAGAUGAUUAAAUGAGGUUUUUGAGAAAGAAUUUGAAGAUGAGAAACAAUAAGAAAAUUACCUGAAUUCCUGCAAGAGUAACCGUUAAGGGAAAAAAUUUUAAAGACUCGAGUUCAAUAGAAUCUAUUGGAACACCAACCUUAGAAUCAUAACUGCCAUGUCAGAAUUUUUAGAAAAAUCCAGUAUUAUAUCUUCUGCCAUCUUCUUGGCUUUUCCAUAUGGAUUAAUUGGGACCUGUGGAGUGUCUUCAGUAAUGGGCAUCUUCUCAGGCUCCCCAUAUGUUGCACAUGUACUUGAAUAUAUCAAAGUCUUCACAUCAUGUGCAGCCAUUGACUCCAGGACUACCAAGGUAUUUGAUGUAAUGUUGUGAUAGUACUUAAGAGGAUCCAUGGUGCUUUCCCCAACAUAUGCAACAGCGGCAAAGUGCAUCACAGCAUCAAAUGCAUUUUCUGAGAAUAUUUUGUUAACAGCUUUUGCAUCCCCCAGGUCAGUAUAUAUGAACUGAAGCCUCCCAGGUUGUGGAAAUAAUUCUUGUAGAACUUUGACAGCACCAAGAUUUCCCCGUGAGAGGUUAUCCACUAUGGUUACCCUGUACCCAUCCUUUAAAAGUCGCAUUGCAGCGUGUGAACCAAUGUAGCCAGCACCACCAGUCACAAGCACAUGAGUCACCCCUUCUUCAUGCAUGGAGAACGGGCUUGGAGUAUUGAAUGUUGGGGAUUGUUUGAGCAUAAUAAUGCAUAAGGCUGUGAGAGCAGCAGCCAAAAGGAUCUUCCCUACAUAAUUACCCUUCCUUUUAGGGUCUGCAUAAUCCAGGCCUCCAAGCGGCAUUGAUCUGUUGGACCUUGGCUGAUUUCUGGUCCUGCCAAUAUGUAGCAUUUGGAGAAUCUCUACAACACUAAUACCUUCAACAGGAUUCAAAAUUACACUUCUGUAUCAAUGAUCAAUUAAGAAUUCCCCCAAAAUUUUGCAGUUUCUGCUCCAAUCAAAUCCAAAAUUUAAAAAAUCAGAAUUCCCAAGAUCCAAAACCACCCAACUGAAAAUUAUACUGGAAAACCACCCAAUAAGGACCCUUUGACAAACCCGGAAAAGAAACUGAGAAUGGCAAAGGUUGCGAGCUCUAGUCCUGCGAAUAUAUAAAGACCAGAGAAACUUGAAGCUGUCAAAAUAUAAGAUUUUCCAAAAAAAGAAACGCAUUAAUUGCCAAAACACAGAACCUGAAAAAAGCAGGACAAUUAUCGCAGUUGCAGAUAAGGAAAAGCUGAGGAAAAAAAUAAUUUCUCAAGAAUCACAAAGAUCCCCACUUCCAUUUAUAUAAACAAGGCCAUGCAAUACACCCAUCACAGGAAGGCACAUAAAUACACACACAAGACAGAACCCAUAACCCAAAACUUAAAAAAAAAA